CCGGCCCAACGCGCGGGUAAUACCGGAUAUCGUGGCGCUCCUCAUGGGGCGUUGACAAAAGAUUUAUCGACAGGGGAUGAGCUUGCGUCCGAUUAGCUAGUUGGCGGGGCAACGGCCCUCCAAGGCGACGAUCGGUAGCCGGCCUGAGAGGGUGAUCGGCCACAUUGGGACUGAGAUACGGCCCAGACUCCUACGGGAGGCAGCAGUAGGGAAUAUUGCACAAUGGGGGAAACCCUGAUGCAGCAACGCCACGUGUGGGAAGAAGCAUUUCGGUGUGUAAACCACUGUCAUGAGGGAAUAAGGCCCGCCUCCGGGCGGGAUUGAAUGUACCUUGAGAGGAAGCACCGGCAAACUUCGUGCCAGCAGCCGCGGUAAUACGAGGGGUGCAAGCGUUGUUCGGAAUUACUGGGCGUAAAGGGAGCGUAGGCGGAGAUUCAAGCGGAUUGUACAAUCCCGGGGCCCAACCCCGGCUCUGCAGUCCGAACUGGAUCUCUUGGAUAGUUCAGGGGCAGGCGGAAUUCCUGGUGUAGCGGUGGAAUGCGUAGAGAUCAGGAAGAACACCGAUGGCGAAGGCAGCCUGCUGGGGACUCAUCGACGCUGAGGCUCGAAAGUGCGGGUAGCAAACAGGAUUAGAUACCCUGGUAGUCCGCACCGUAAACAAUGCAUACUGGGUGUCCGGGGGUUCCCCCGGGUACCGUAGCCAACGCGUUAAGUAUGCCGCCUGGGGAGUACGUACGCAAGUAUGAAACUCAAAGGAAUUGACGGGGGCCCGCACAAGCGGUGGAGCAUGUGGUUUAAUUCGAAGCAACGCGCAGAACCUUACCAGGGUUUGACAUGGAAUCGCCGCAGCG
This 851-nucleotide ribosomal RNA is filed under the name bacterium enrichment culture. Its description in RNAcentral is "bacterial SSU rRNA". It matches the Rfam family "Bacterial small subunit ribosomal RNA", at positions 147 to 1002 of the family's 1533-position model. The record is from RNAcentral.